This 264-nucleotide small nucleolar RNA is filed under the name Sungouiella intermedia. Its description in RNAcentral is "Candida intermedia Small nucleolar RNA snR191". It matches the Rfam family "Small nucleolar RNA snR191". The record is from Rfam by way of RNAcentral. Lineage: Eukaryota; Fungi; Ascomycota; Pichiomycetes; Serinales; Metschnikowiaceae.
UCCCAAAGCCUUUUGUCAGGGUGGCAUUCGAUUUCAUAUCAACCAACUACAUUGUUGCCUGUUACGUCUUUGGAAGAUCAAUGCUAUUCGCCCGUGGUCCUAAGUGCUUGCACUUGGUGCUUGUUCCGUUCUGGAAUGAGCUUUGGUCACACCUGCUGGUAGUUUUUACUGGCAAUCUAGAAUAGUAUCGGAAACUUUUUGAGUUGGACCUACUCGACUUCGUGUCGUGAAAUGAGUUUGUCCGUAGUAUAGAGUCCGACACUU